This is a long non-coding RNA of Varanus komodoensis (Komodo dragon), 1165 nucleotides long. RefSeq lists it as uncharacterized. The transcript is spliced from 3 exons. The record is from RefSeq and is a predicted model, not a curated record. NCBI's taxonomy places the organism in Eukaryota, Metazoa, Chordata, Lepidosauria, Squamata, Varanidae.
UUUGCGAGCAGCGCGCGCUGCAGUUUCUCUUCCCGAGCCGCGUCUCGAUGGCCACGCGGCUUUUGCCACGCCGCCUCCCAAGAGCCACGGCUCAGCUUAGCACCUGCAUCAACGGGUGGCAGUCCGGGCAUCAUCAGCCCAGGACUCACACCCCAGUAGAGACCCUUUGACAAGUCCCCCGCUCCGGAGUUGCCUUUUCACGUGCCUCUCUCUUGGCCCAGGCCGCUGCGAUGGAGGAGCAGCGGUCCUUGCUCGGGGGCGCUUCGCCCGUCAAGCAAGCCUGUAGUUGCAAUGGUGCGAAAAAGUUUCAGGAGUAAGAGCUCCUGGUGGCACUGCCGUAGAAAAGGUAGGCUCAGGGAGGCUGAAUCGCACCUGGGGCGCUUAAAAUCCAGGAUCCAGCGUGCCUAAGCGCAGCAACAUCCUUUUCCCGUGUCACAGCAACACUUGACAUAAGAUAAGCCUUAGAGCGGGCUUUUCUGCAUAAGAAGUUUCUUUAUCGCGAAUCCUCACAGUUGUUCAUGAGACAAUGUCGCGAUUCUCCAGCUUCCCUUCUUCUUUUUCCCAGAAGACGUACCCAUUUCGUUUUUUUGGAGUGGAGAAAAUGGGAUUGCAUCUCCUACUGUAUUUGUGCUGUUUUGCUAGAGGACACCUAGAGGCCGUGUAGCAGAAAAACAAGUAAAAAACAGCUUUUCUUUUGAUGGAACUUGAUCUCGUUGCUGCCAUGAGACUGAAAGCAGUAGACCUAGACGGUGCGGAGGGGAUGCUUAUCAAAUAAACAGAUGGCACAAGGCUCUGAGGAUAGCCAGUCCCAUAGAAGACAGAACCAACUUGACAUGCUGUGAUUCAGGGCUGAAAAAAGCAAGAAGAAAUUCAACAUGGAUAAAUGUAAGGUUUUGCAUUUAAUAGCAGAUCAGACUGGAAGCACAUAUGGCAAAACUGAAGCCAGGCACUGGAGAAGACAAUCACACCAGGGGAAGAGUGGAUGUAGUGGAUGUAGGUGGAUGGACCGCAAUGGAAGCCACAGCCUUGAGUUUAGAAGAUGCGAGCAGGGCUAUGAAGCACCAGACACUUUGGAGGGUUUUCCUGUGGGAAUUCAUUGCUGGGUCAUGCUGUACUCACGUACCACACGAAGACCAAGAGUAUUGUAAUUUAUCUAUGUAACCAU